AUUGAACGCUGGCGGCAGGCUUAACACAUGCAAGUCGAGCGGGGUGAUGGUGCUUGCACUAUCACUUAGCGGCGGACGGGUGAGUAAUGCUUAGGAAUCUGCCUAUUAGUGGGGGACAACAUCUCGAAAGGGAUGCUAAUACCGCAUACGUCCUACGGGAGAAAGCAGGGGAUCACUUGUGACCUUGCGCUAAUAGAUGAGCCUAAGUCGGAUUAGCUAGUUGGUGGGGUAAAGGCCAACCAAGGCGACGAUCUGUAGCGGGUCUGAGAGGCUGAUCCGCAACCGUGGAACUGGGACACGGCCCGGACUCCUACGGGAAGCAGACGUGGGGAAUAUUGGACAAUGGGGGGAACCCUGAUCCAGCCAUGCCGCGUGUGUGAAGAAGGCCUUAUGGUUGUAAAGCACUUUAAGCGAGGAGGAGGCUCUUUUGGUUAAUACCCAAGAUGAGUGGACGUUACUCGCAGAAUAAGCACCGGCUAACUCUGUGCCAGCCGCCGCCGUAA
RNAcentral lists this ribosomal RNA (503 nucleotides) under uncultured bacterium. RNAcentral describes it as "partial 16S ribosomal RNA". It matches the Rfam family "Bacterial small subunit ribosomal RNA", at positions 30 to 523 of the family's 1533-position model. The record is from RNAcentral.